This 301-nucleotide ribosomal RNA is filed under the name uncultured bacterium. Its description in RNAcentral is "partial 16S ribosomal RNA". It matches the Rfam family "Bacterial small subunit ribosomal RNA", at positions 509 to 807 of the family's 1533-position model. The record is from RNAcentral.
CAGCCGCCGCGGUAAAACGUAGGUGGCAAGCGUUGUCCGGAAUUAUUGGGCGUAAAGGGCUCGCAGGCGGUUUCUUAAGUCUGAUGUGAAAGCCCCCGGCUCAACCGGGGAGGGUCAUUGGAAACUGGGAAACUUGAGUGCAGAAGAGGAGAGUGGAAUUCCACGUGUAGCGGUGAAAUGCGUAGAGAUGUGGAGGAACACCAGUGGCGAAGGCGACUCUCUGGUCUGUAACUGACGCUGAGGAGCGAAAGCGUGGGGAGCGAACAGGAUUAGAUACCCGCGUAGUCCCUGUCUCUUAUAC